GACGAACGCUGGCGGCGUGCUUAACACAUGCAAGUCGAACGGAAAGGCCCUGCUUUUGUGGGUUGCUCGAGUGGCGAACGGGUGAGUAACACGUGAGUAACCUGCCCUUGACUUUGGGAUAACUUCAGGAAACUGGGGCUAAUACCGGAUAUGAGCUCCUGCUGCAUGGUGGUGGUUGGAAAGUUUCGGCGUUUGGGGAUGGACUCGCGGCUUAUCAGCUUGUUGGUGGGGUAGUGGUUUACCAAGGGUUUGACGGGUAGCCGGCCUGAGAGGGUGACCGGCGACAUUGGGACUGAGAUACGGCACAGAAGCCUACGGGAGGCAGCAGUGGAGAAUCUUGCACAAUGGGCGGAAGCCUGAUGCAGAAACGCAGCGUGCGGGAUGACGGCCUUCGGGUUGUAAACCGAUUUCGCCUGUGACGAAGCGUGAGUGACGGUAAUGGGUAAAGAAGCCACGGCUAACUACGUG
RNAcentral lists this ribosomal RNA (468 nucleotides) under uncultured bacterium. Its description in RNAcentral is "partial 16S ribosomal RNA". It matches the Rfam family "Bacterial small subunit ribosomal RNA", at positions 28 to 507 of the family's 1533-position model. The record is from RNAcentral.